AGUUAGUGGCGGACGGGUGAGUAACACGUGGGAACGUGCCUUUUGGUUCGGAAUAACUCAGGGAAACUUGUGCUAAUACCGAAUGUGCCCUUCGGGGGAAAGAUUUAUCGCCAUUAGAGCGGCCCGCGUCUGAUUAGCUAGUUGGUGAGGUAAAGGCUCACCAAGGCGACGAUCAGUAGCUGGUCUGAGAGGAUGAUCAGCCACAUUGGGACUGAGACACGGCCCAAACUCCUACGGGAGGCAGCAGUGGGGAAUCUUGCGCAAUGGGCGAAAGCCUGACGCAGCCAUGCCGCGUGAAUGAUGAAGGUCUUAGGAUUGUAAAAUUCUUUCACCGGGGACGAUAAUGACGGUACCCGGAGAAGAAGCCCCGGCUAACUUCGUGCCAGCAGCCGCGGUAAUACGAAGGGGGCUAGCGUUGCUCGGAAUUACUGGGCGUAAAGGGAGCGUAGGCGGACAUUUAAGUCAGGGGUGAAAUCCCGGGGCUCAACCUCGGAAUUGCCUUUGAUACUGGGUGUCUUGAGUAUGAGAGAGGUGUGUGGAACUCCGAGUGUAGAGGUGAAAUUCGUAGAUAUUCGGAAGAACACCAGUGGCGAAGGCGACACACUGGCUCAUUACUGACGCUGAGGCUCGAAAGCGUGGGGAGCAAACAGGAUUAGAUACCCUGGUAGUCCACGCCGUAAACGAUGAUUGCUAGUUGUCGGGAUGCAUGCAUUUCG
This 716-nucleotide ribosomal RNA is filed under the name Caulobacteraceae bacterium. RNAcentral's name for it is "bacterial SSU rRNA". It matches the Rfam family "Bacterial small subunit ribosomal RNA", at positions 90 to 842 of the family's 1533-position model. The record is from RNAcentral. Lineage: Bacteria; Pseudomonadati; Pseudomonadota; Alphaproteobacteria; Caulobacterales; Caulobacteraceae.